This 370-nucleotide ribosomal RNA is filed under the name uncultured bacterium. RNAcentral's name for it is "bacterial SSU rRNA". It matches the Rfam family "Bacterial small subunit ribosomal RNA", at positions 28 to 392 of the family's 1533-position model. The record is from RNAcentral.
GACGAACGCUGGCGGCGUGCUUAACACAUGCAAGUGGAGCGACGAACCGGGGCUUGCCCCGGGGCAGAGCCGCGAACGGGUGAGUAACACGUGGGUAACCUGCCUCAAUGAUUGGGACAACCCGGGGAAACUCGGGCUAAUACCAAAUGUGUUCACUCCUUCUAAGGGGAGUGAGGAAAGGAAGCUUCGGCCUCCGCAUUGAGAUGGGCCCGCGGCCCAUUAGCUUGUUGGUGAGGUAACGGCUCACCAAGGCUUCGAUGGGUAGCUGGUCUGAGAGGACGAUCAGCCACACUGGGACUGAGACACGGCCCAGACUCCUACGGGAGGCAGCAGUGGGAAUCUUGCACAAUGCGCGAAAGCGUGAUGCGGC